AGUUAUUGAACUUGAAAAGUGUAUAUUUUGAAAAUAUAAAAUAGAAGUAGGAAUCUUCUAAUAACUU
Molecule: transfer RNA, 67 nt
Filed under: Dacrila fallax
Lineage: Eukaryota; Metazoa; Arthropoda; Insecta; Coleoptera; Staphylinidae
Description: tRNA-Ser
Source: RNAcentral